GACGAACGCUGGCGGCGUGCUUAACACAUGCAAGUCGAACGGUAAGGCCCUUCGGGGUACACGAGUGGCGAACGGGUGAGUAACACGUGGGUGAUCUGCCCUGCACUUCGGGAUAAGCCUGGGAAACUGGGUCUAAUACCGGAUAGGACCACUGCCUGCAUGGGUGGUGGUGGAAAGCUUUUGCGGUGUGGGAUGGGCCCGCGGCCUAUCAGCUUGUUGGUGGGGUGAUGGCCUACCAAGGCGACGACGGGUCGACGGCCUGAGAGGGUGACCGGCCGCACUGGGACUGAGAUACGGCCCAGACUCCUACGGGAGGCAGCAGUGGGGAAUAUUUCACAAUGGGCGCAAGCCUGAUGCAGCGACGCCGCGUGAGGGAUGACGGCCUUCGGGUUGUAAACCUCUUUCAGCACCGACGAAGCGCAAGUGACGGUAGGUGCAGAAGAAGGACCGGCCAACUACGUGCCAGCCGCCGCGGUAA
RNAcentral lists this ribosomal RNA (478 nucleotides) under uncultured bacterium. Its description in RNAcentral is "partial 16S ribosomal RNA". It matches the Rfam family "Bacterial small subunit ribosomal RNA", at positions 28 to 523 of the family's 1533-position model. The record is from RNAcentral.